GAUGAACGCUGGCGGCGUGCCUAAUACAUGCAAGUCGAGCGAACAGACGAGGAGCUUGCUCCUCUGACGUUAGCGGCGGACGAGUGAGUAACACGUGGAUAUCCUACCUAUAAGACUGGGAUAACUUCGGGAAACCGGAGCUAAUACCGGAUAAUAUAUUGAACCGCAUGGUUCAAUAGUGAAAGACGGUUUUGCUGUCACUUAUAGAUGGAUCCGCGCCGCAUUAGCUAGUUGGUAAGGUAACGGCUUACCAAGGCAACGAUGCGUAGCCGACCUGAGAGGGUGAUCGGCCACACUGGAACUGAGACACGGUCCAGACUCCUACGGGAGGCAGCAGUAGGGAAUCUUCCGCAAUGGGCGAAAGCCUGACGGAGCAACGCCGCGUGAGUGAUGAAGGUCUUCGGAUCGUAAAACUCUGUUAUUAGGGAAGAACAAAUGUGUAAGUAACUAUGCACGUCUUGACGGUACCUAAUCAGAAAGCCACGGCUAACUACGUG
RNAcentral lists this ribosomal RNA (497 nucleotides) under uncultured bacterium. RNAcentral describes it as "partial 16S ribosomal RNA". It matches the Rfam family "Bacterial small subunit ribosomal RNA", at positions 28 to 507 of the family's 1533-position model. The record is from RNAcentral.